Sander lucioperca (pikeperch) is the source of this 3709-nucleotide RNA transcript. It is a transcript of the gene named CUE domain-containing protein 1, with no coding region annotated. The record is from RefSeq and is a predicted model, not a curated record. NCBI's taxonomy places the organism in Eukaryota, Metazoa, Chordata, Actinopteri, Perciformes, Percidae. The transcript has 13 exons.
AAGGGCAUAUGUCAACCACCCACAUAUGCCUAUUAUUUUGAAGCUUAGAGUUUGUUGUGGCUGACCUGACACAUCCGGUCACCAGCUGAAUUUAAUGGCAUAGGGACAGUAUCCUUCUGGUUCCCAUUACAAUGCCAAAAACCACAGUCCUGCUCAGCUGUGCUCCUGUGGAUUUCUGUUUCGAUGAACCGUCUGCGCCUCAGUCAGUGCUGAUGACUGUGAUGUAGCUAUGUGUGUUUCCUGACGGAUUCAAACUCUAAUCUUUACCUGGUGACCACCUGUCUCAUCCCGUCCCUGCUCGCCUGUAAUACAGUCAGCCAUGCCGGAUGCAGCUGAAUAACGAGUAGCAUUGGGGUGGGGGGGAAACAAGUUUUUCUAAACUCCCCAUCAAAAGGCUGCCAUGUUUUGUGGUAGAAUGAGAAACUGAGUGGGAGAAAAGUGGGAAGCAAGUGAGACUGAAGUGGCCAAAGUGCUUGUGUUGGUGACAGAAAAGAAGAGCCAUCCUAUCAGUAGGUUGGCAGCAGCCGAGGCAGCCGGGCCCUGAGGAUGACUAGCCUGUUCAAGCGCAGCAGCAGCAAUGGAGGCUCCGGAAGCAGCGGAAGUGGCGGUGGGGGCAGCGGUGGACAGGGGCAGCUCAACAACAGCAGGUCCAGCCGGCAGGUCCGACGCCUGGAGUUCAACCAGGCCAUGGAGGACUUCAAGACCAUGUUCCCCUCCAUGGACUAUGAGGUGAUUGAGUGCGUGCUGCGCUCCAACAAUGGGGCGGUGGACGCUACGAUCGACCAGCUGCUCCAGAUGAGCAUUGACGGACAGGGCUCCGAUGACAGCUCAGACUCUGAUGACAGCAUCCCAGCAGAGAUUCUGGAGAGAACACUGGAACCUGACAGUUCAGACGAGGAACCGCCUCCAGUCUACUCUCCGCCAACAUAUGAUAUGCACAUUUAUGACAGGAAAUACCCAGAAGCCCCACCAACACCCCCGCCAAGAUUUGAAGCCCAGCCACCUCCAGGUCACCAGCAGGUCAAAAGCUACCGGAACUGGAACCCUCCUUUGCUCGGAAAGCUCCCAGACGAUUUUUUGCGGAUUCUGCCACAGCAGUUGGACAGUAUUAAGCAGAGCUCCCAGAGUAGUCUUUCCCAGCCUUCAUCCUCAUCGUCUUCCUCCGUUUCUUCAAUAAGCCAGUGGACCACACCGUCUGGUUCUCUGUCUGGAGCCGCAGGGACCACCGGAGGUCCCGGUUUGACAAGCGGAGCUACCGAGCAAGAUAAGAAGCUGAAGCAGUAUCUGGAGGAUGAGCGCAUCGCCCUGUUCCUGCAGAACGAGGAGUUUAUGAGAGAGCUGCAGCGCAACCGCGAGUUCCUCAUCGCCUUGGAGAGAGAUCGCUUGAAGUAUGAAUCAAAGAAAUCAAAGUCCAAUCAUUCAUCUAGUAUGGAGAAUUCCACAGGAGAACAGUACUCGGCAGCUUCAAUGGAGGCAGUGUCAGAUGACGCCCUGUUCAGAGACAAACUCAAACACAUGGGCAAAUCAACAAGAAAGAAGCUGUUUGAAAUUGCCAGAACGUUCUCAGAAAAGACGAAGCGGAGAAAGUCAAAAAGAAGGAUGCUCCUGAAGCACCAUUCAUUGGGCACCACCAACUCUACAGCUAAUCUCCUCGACGAUGUAGAGGGAAACCCCUGUGAGGAUGGUCAGCCCAGAAGAGCAAAAACUCAGGAAGAGAAAGAACAACGCAAUGAGCCAAUAAUAUGAUCGCCCUAUGCUGCACCAUAUCAGGGUUACCAUGGCGACGGCAGCAUGACCUGUGGGUGGUGGCCUUGCAGCUCUUCCUGUCUCCACCUGCUCAACCCCCCCCCCCACCCCCACCCUAAUCCAAACCAGCCGAUGUAAAGGCUCAGCAGUGAGUUGUUUCCCCCUCCUUCCCAGGGAGACGAACCGGACUGUACGCAGCACUGGCCCGACUGUCUAUAAAAGCAUUAUCUCUGUAUUAUAACACUUUAAUAUAUCAUUUUAAAUGUAAAGGAAUUGUGACGUAAGGAAUGCAUUAGUCCUUCUCAGUAUUUGUUAACGGCUUCCUUUAAUCCCCUGAGAGGAACACUAGCGUAGUGAUGAUCUUGCCAUAUGAACCUUUUUAUUACUUCUCCAGACUGUGUGUUUCUGAUUGGUGUACCUCAGGCUUGGCAUUUCGGAUCCAAAGUGUGCACAUGCUCCUUUAUAUACACUAAACCAUGAAGAGCUUUUUUACCAUGUUUUCUUAAUCCGAUUGUAAUAUUCAGCUGUUUUUGAACGUCAGGGGUUAUGUAAAGUUCUUAUGUGCCAGAAUAUUGUGGCCAUCAAAGCGGUUGCUGCCCAAAUGUCAACACUUGGCCAUUGUAACUGAUUGAUCACAUUUGAAAGAGUGUGUUCUUAGAAAGCAUGUUUGGAGCAGUUCACUUGAAAGGCUGCAGUGUUUGGAGCAGCGUACUAGUUUGCUUUGUUUGGCAAGGUGAAAACGCGGUCAUUCAAUCAGUUGUAACGGCACUACGGCCGAGACAUUAAACCACGAUGACCGACAAAGUAAAUGAUUAUGUGAACUUUCUUACGGAGUUUCAACAGACUGGUAAUAAAUAACUCCAAAGUCCGGCCGAGGUCUAAAGGCAAAAGUUUGCAUGAAAAGUGACCGAAGUAGUUGUGUGAAAAAUGAAAAGAGGGAGAAGUUAAAACUUUAAGACUGAUUGUGGGAUUCAGUUUUGGAGAGAAUUUGUCAGAUGUAGCCCACCCACAGUCCACCCAAAAAUGUCUCGAACUGGUGACACAAAUGUGUUGUCAUACCUGCCAGUACAAAGCCUUGAGACCAGUGUUGUUUGAUGGUUUCACACUAAAGCAAAGCACCUCUGCUUUUUUUUUUUUUCCACUUUGUCAUUUAUACCCAGUUCUUCUGUUGAACAUUUGUGUUUUUUUUUGUCUUUUUGAUCUCUGUUAAAUGUGAAAAUGUCUGCAAAUAGGCUAACUACACGUUUUACUGCUAAAGCCCUGAAAGAAAAGGUGCGUUACAUUUCUGUACAGGUCAGAUUCAGACUGUGGCAGUGGAAGGGUUACUGCCCUGUCACUAGUUUUUACAGCAUGUAGGAAUGCCAGUAAGUGAUUCCAGCAACCUUGAAAGUAAUCAAAAGCUGCCAACCAAUCAGCUGCCAGCCUCGGCCAGCUCAUGAGGGCCAUUAAAAACCCUCAUGUUCCCUCUUGAUAGAAAUGUAUACACAUGAUGAUCCACAAUGACCCUUUAACAUUCUUAGAAUCUCCUGUUCCUUGAACAUCAUUUUCAUUGUGUAUGUGUAUGUCAGUGAUAUAUGAGAUGUAAAGAAGGGAAAUUGAGCUUUUAGUGUUGUCUAUCUGUAGGAAGAUGGGUGCAGAACAGCUGUCAAUCAUUCUUGGCAUUAAGUUCUCUGAAAGUCGGUGCUAAUGCCAAAGGUUUUCCUUUUCAGAUCAUUUAUAAUUUUCUGCUGAGAUAGAGUGUUUCUCAUGAAUGGGCCGCAGUACUUAGUUCUCCAUACAGAACCAUUAAUGGGUUUGCAUUACAUGUUUGUAUACCUGUUACCAUUAUGAUUGGAAAAACACAGUCCUGCCUCAGUGAGAUGCAGUUUAAAGUGGUUGAAUACAUCAAACAUAUAUAUGAAUGUAUGAUGUUCCUUUUCUUGUAUUUUUUUUGUUUGUGUGUUUGUUUCAAUAAAGGCUUUUU